GUACACUCCUGCGGGAGGCAGCAGUGGGGAAUUUUGGACAAUGGGCGAAAGCCUGAUCCAGCAAUGCCGCGUGUGUGAAGAAGGCCUUCGGGUUGUAAAGCACUUUUGUCCGGAAAGAAAUCCUUGGCUCUAAUACAGUCGGGGGAUGACGGUACCGGAAGAAUAAGCACCGGCUAACUACGUGCCAGCAGCCGCGGUAAUACGUAGGGUGCGAGCGUUAAUCGGAAUUACUGGGCGUAAAGCGUGCGCAGGCGGUUUGCUAAGACCGAUGUGAAAUCCCCGGGCUCAACCUGGGAACUGCAUUGGUGACUGGCAGGCUAGAGUAUGGCAGAGGGGGGUAGAAUUCCACGUGUAGCAGUGAAAUGCGUAGAGAUGUGGAGGAAUACCGAUGGCGAAGGCAGCCCCCUGGGCCAAUACUGACGCUCAUGCACGAAAGCGUGGGGAGCAAACAGGAUUAGAAACCCUGGUAGUCCCA
This 475-nucleotide ribosomal RNA is filed under the name uncultured organism. RNAcentral's name for it is "partial 16S ribosomal RNA". It matches the Rfam family "Bacterial small subunit ribosomal RNA", at positions 331 to 797 of the family's 1533-position model. The record is from RNAcentral.